AACUAAUUGUAGCUCAAAACUUAAACCUACUUAAACUAUCUUAGAAAUUAAAAUAAAACAUUUAGAAUAAUUAAAGUAUUAGGCGAUAGAAAUUCUACUUGACGCUAUAGAGAAAGUACCGCAAGGGAAACCUGAAAGAAAAUUAUAAGUAAAAAAUAGCAAAGCUUAAAACUUUUACCUUUUGCAUAAUGAUUCAACUAGAAGAUAUUAGCAAAAAGAAUUAAAGUUAAAUAACCCGAAACCAGACGAGCUACCUAUCAGCAGCCCACAGAGCGAACUCAUCUAUGUGGCAAAAUAGUGAGACGACUGAUAGGUAGUGGCGAUAAACCUACCGAGCCUGGUGAUAGCUGGUUGUCCAGAACAGAACCUUAGUUCUAAUUUAAAUUUACUAAUAAACAAGCAAAUUGUAACGUAAGUUUAAAUGAUAAUCUAAAAAGGUACAGCCUUUUAGAUACGGGAUACAACCCCUAUUAGAGAGAAAAUUCUCAAAACCACAAUAGUUGGCCUAAAAGCAGCCAUCAAUUAAGAAAGCGUUCAAGCCCAACAGCAUAAAAACUUAAUGUCAUAAUAAGAAUUUAACUCCUAAUAUAAAACUGGACUACUCUAUUUUUAAAUAGAAGCAAUAAUGUUGAUAUGAGUAACAAGAAAAAUUUCUCCUUGCACAAGUGUAUAUCAAAACGAAUGAGUCAUUGAUAAUUAUCAAAACUAGUAUUAUCAAAUAUUAAUCCCCUAUUAUUAAUUGUUAGACCAACACAGGAGUGCAACUAAGGAAAGAUUAAAAGAAGUAAAAGGAAUUCAGCAAACACAAACCUCGCCUGUUUACCAAAAACAUCACCUCUAGCAUAAAAAGUAUUAGAGGCACUGCCUGCCCAGUGACUUUAGUUUAACGGCCGCGGUAUCCUGACCGUGCAAAGGUAGCAUAAUCAUUUGUUCUCUAAAUAAGGACUUGUAUGAAAGGCCCCACGAGGGUUUUGCUGUCUCUUACUUCUAAUCAGUGAAAUUGACAUUCCCGUGAAGAGGCGGGGAUAAAAUAAUAAGACGAGAAGACCCUAUGGAGCUUUAAUUAAUCAGCUUACUAAACCCUAUAAAUUUUCUACAAGAAAUAAACACAUUUUAACUAAGUUGAUAAUUUAGGUUGGGGUGACCUCGGAAUACAACUCAACCUCCGAGAAAAUAUAUUAAGACCCACAAGUCAAAAUUAUAACAUCAUACACUGAUCCGCCAUCGGCGAUCAACGAAACAAGUUACCCUAGGGAUAACAGCGCAAUCCUAUUUAAGAGUUCAUAUCGACAAUUAGGGUUUACGACCUCGAUGUUGGAUCAGGACAUCCCAAUGGUGCAGCAGCUAUUAAUGUGUUCGUUUGUUCAACGAUUAAAGUCCUACGUGAUCUGAGUUCAGACCGGAGUAAUCCAGGUCGGUUUCUAUCUAUUCACAAGUCUUCCCUAGUACGAAAGGACCAGGAAGACGAGGCCUACUUAAAAUAAGCGCCUUUAUAAAACAGAUGAACUAAUCUUAAUCUUACAUACUCCAUCAAAUGCCUAAGAUAAAGGAUC
This 1553-nucleotide ribosomal RNA is filed under the name Vespadelus darlingtoni (large forest bat). RNAcentral describes it as "16S ribosomal RNA". It matches the Rfam family "Bacterial large subunit ribosomal RNA". Lineage: Eukaryota; Metazoa; Chordata; Mammalia; Chiroptera; Vespertilionidae. The record is from RNAcentral.